Molecule: long non-coding RNA, 216 nt
Organism: Pectinophora gossypiella (pink bollworm)
Lineage: Eukaryota; Metazoa; Arthropoda; Insecta; Lepidoptera; Gelechiidae
Exons: 3
Source: RefSeq, a predicted model, not a curated record
AACGGGCUAACGUGACAUCAAUAACGAGUAUAUUAUUAUAUAGUAUAAGGAACUAUUAAUUUACAAGGCGGCAACGCGGCGUGCUCAACAUCACGGAUAAAGCUACCGAACGUAGUUAUUCCUACAUUUACUGAAGUCAAGCAGCAUCUGGCAGCAUUAAAAAACCUGGGUGAGCCCAUAUGGGACAGCAUCAUCGUAUGUAUUGUGCUACGCAAA